Phyllopteryx taeniolatus (common seadragon) is the source of this 1927-nucleotide long non-coding RNA. RefSeq lists it as uncharacterized. The transcript is spliced from 3 exons. The record is from RefSeq and is a predicted model, not a curated record. NCBI's taxonomy places the organism in Eukaryota, Metazoa, Chordata, Actinopteri, Syngnathiformes, Syngnathidae.
CGCAAGGCAAUGGCGUCACCACAGAUGAGUCGCGCACUGGGCCACCGUUACUUCGGUGUGGCCACUGGCCAUGCGUGGGGAGUCGCGAGGUGUAGGCGUCACCACAGAUGAGUCGAACGACAAGGUCUCUGGAUGCACGGCCCAUCAGUCACCAAAGUGGGCAGCAGGUCUAAAGCUGUUUUUUAAAUGCAUUAGUCACUACAGUAGAAAGCUAUUCAAAAGCACUUUAUUCUAUUUGAAUCUGUUACUAUAGUAGACAGUAAUACAAAAGUUGUUUUCCUUUAAGUGCGUCAAUCACUAUAGUGGACAGAUAUUCAAAAGCGCUUUUUUUUUUCUAUAGGGAUCAGUUGCUGCAGUAAGUUAUACAAAAGCUGUUUUCUUCUGUAUGCAUCAGUCACUACAGAAGACCGAUACUGAUCAGCGUUUUUCUUCUCCAAACCCCAAUUGCAAUGAAGUUGAGACGCUGUGUAAAGCGUAAAUGAAAACAGAAUACAAUGAUUUACAAAUCCUUUUCAAAUAAUAUUUAAAUGAAUACACUCCAAAAACAAGACAUUCACUGUUCAAACUGAGGAAGGUUGUCGUUUUUUGCAAAUAUUCUCAUUUUGAAUUUGACGCCUGCGACAUGUUCCCAAAAAGCUGGGACAGAGCCAACAAAAGACUGGGAAAAAGUUGAGGAAUGCUAAAAAAAACACCUCUUUGAAAUAUUCCACUGGGGAAACACUUAAUCCCAGCUCAAAUUGUUCGCUAGCAUUUUAGACAAAAGUUAAAACGCCAUUGACCUCUAGGGGGCAUUCAAGGAUUUGCCACUGACAUAACUUUAGGUCAACUCAACAUUACAACAUGACAGAAAUAAUGGGUGCUAACUUACUGUAAUUAAAUUACUUUAAUAAAUACUGUUAAUGACAUUCUUACUCUAACUUUCUCACUGCCCCUGCUAUAUGGACGGUGUUGUCCAGAUUUCGAGUCCGUAAUGCAUAUCGUAUUCUGUUUCUUUUUCCACUGUCCCAACUGCAUUCGUACAGGAUGCACCUCAGUCACUACAGUAGACUGCUAUACAAAAACGGUUUCCUUCUAUAUGCAUCAGUUACUACAAGAGACUGCAAAAGUUUUGUUUUUUAUGCACCAGCCACUGCAGUAGACAGCUACUUAAAUGUUUUCUUCUAACAGUCACUACAUUAGUUGCUUUUUGGGUACGGGAUGAGACACUAGCACGCACUGUAGUAAUUAGUGCAAAAGUUUUGAAAACAAACCGUCUACUGUAGUGACUAAGGCACAACUUUUGACAUCUAACUUAAUAAUAUAGAAUAAAGCAAUGUGGAUGUCUAUUGUCGUGACUGAUGCAAAUUGAAAAACAAGACCUUUGAAAAGCUGUCUUGUGUGGUAGCUGAUGUGGUGACACGUGAAGAGGAUACGAGGUCAUCCCGAGCUCCAGCGAGAACAUGAGGCUCUUGAAGAGGUCCUCGGGCAGCUGUGGGAUCUUCUCGGGGAAGAUCUCGCAGAUGAAGGUGAUGAGCUUGUAGUACUGGUUGCACAGAGAUGGGAACUGCAGAGCACAGGUGGCGGUGGGGGUUGGGCAAAGAGCUCAGCCAGAUUCUUGCUACAAAGGGGAUAUUGUUGGAAAAAAAACGUGUCUAACCUUGAGAAGGUCCUGAGACAUGAGGGGAAGAACGAUGUUGACGCCGUACAGGACCACGUCUGCGGCAGACACCGGACGACUGGACGCCGGCGUGCCCUGGUCUUGGCUACGGAACACCUCGUCUGGAACAAAAGCGACACAGGCAUACGCCAGGUUGGUGAGCAGCUCCAUGAUGAGCAGCAGGUCCUGGUACUGGUCUUCCUCAGCGGCGGCGUCACUUCGCUUCCUGCUCUGGUUGUUCUUGGAGUAAACCUGCAGCAGCGUCAGGCACGCCUCGUACAGCUUCAUCGA